GACUAUCCGUACUUCGCCACAUGGAACUGUGAGAGGAGGAGAGGGAGGGACACAAUUACCGACCAAACCACAAGCUUUUCACUUCUCUCUCUCUCUCUCUCUCUCUCUCUUUCUCUCUCAACAUUUUCGUGAGCCCUAGAAUAGAAUUUCUGAUUAUCCUGCGAAACAAACAGAAAAAAAGAAAAAAGGAAAUCGGAGCUUUUCUUCGUCUCGUUCGUUAAUGGCGCUUUCGGAGGAGGAAUGCUCCUCGGCGAAAUCCCGAUCGACGUCCUCGGCGGCGUCGACUAGCAGCUCUCAUUACCUCGCCAAGUGCGUCCUCAGAGGAAGCGUCGUUCUCCACGUCGUCUAUGGCCGAAUCCGCUCUCCCACCUCCUUCGACGUCGUUUUCGGCAAGGAAACGUCCAUAGAACUGGUAGUGAUAGGGGAAGACGGGAUAGUUCAAUCUGUAAGCGAUCAGCCUGUGUUUGGGACGCUUAAAGACCUUGCAAUCCUACCAUGGAAAGACAAGUUUUGCCCGCGAAACGCGCAGAUGUUGGGUAGGGAUUUUUUGCUUGUUCUUUCUGAUUCUGGGAAGCUCUCGGUUCUAUCGUUUUGCAACGAAAUGCAUAGGUUCUUCCCAGUGACUCAAGUUCAACUUUCAAAUCCUGGAAACUCUAGGGAUCAACUUGGAAGAUUGCUAGCUGUUGAUUCCAGUGGAUCUUUCAUUGCUGCAAGUGCCUAUGAAAAUCAGUUGGCUAUGUUCUCUGUUUCAGUGUCUGCUGGCAGUGAUAUUAUUGAUAAGAGAAUAGUUUAUCCUCCUGAAAAUGAGGGAGAUCUAAGUAUAACUAGAAGCGUCCAGAAGAACAGUAUAAAUGGUACCAUAUGGGGCAUGUGCUUUAUUUCAAAAGAUCCUUCCCAACCAAGUAAGGGGAAUAAUCCUGUACUUGCCAUUCUUCUGAAUAGGAGGUCACAUCUUAAUGAGCUUCUUUUAUUGGGAUGGAACAUUAGAGAUCAUUCCAUAUCUGUUCUAUCACAGUAUGUUGAAGAUGGACCUUUGGCAUAUGACAUUGUAGAAGUCCCUCAUUCUUAUGGAUUUGCUAUUAUGUUCAGGGUGGGUGAUGCUUUCUUAAUGGAUCUUAGAGAUGCUCAUAACCCUCGUUGUGUCUAUAGAACAAACUUAAAUUUUUUACCCCAUGCAGUUGAUGAGCAGAAUUUUGUUGAAGAAUCGUGCAAGACAGAACAUGAGGUUGAUGAUGAAGGUUUGUUUAAUGUUGCUGCCUGUGCGUUGCUGGAGCUUAGGGAUUAUGAUCCGAUGUGCAUAGAUGGUGACAGCGGAAACGUAAAUGUUAGCUACAAACACUCGUGUUCAUGGAGUUGGGAACCGGGAAAUAGUAAAAAACUAAGGAUGAUUUUUUGUUUAGAUACUGGAGAAUUUUUCAUGAUUGAAAUUUGCUUUGACUCUGAUGUUCCUAAGGUUAGUCAAUCUGAUUGUCUUUACAAAGGUUCACCUUGCAAGGCGCUUUUGUGGGUUGAAGGUGGGUUUCUUGCUGCUCUUGUUGAGAUGGGGGAUGGUAUGGUCCUGAAAUUGGAAGAUGAAAGGCUUAUUUAUGCUAGUCCUAUACAAAAUAUUGCUCCCAUCUUGGAUAUGUCAAUUUUAGAUUACCAUGAUGAGAAACACGAUCAAAUCUUUGCCUGUUGUGGAGUGGUUCCAGAGGGAUCAUUAAGAAUAAUUCAAAAUGGCAUUAGUGUAGAAAAGCUACUCAAGACAGCUUCUAUGUAUCAAGGCAUAACUGGUACUUGGACGGUUCAGAUGAAAGUAGUGGAUUCUUAUCAUUCUUUUCUUGUGCUAUCGUUUGUGGAAGAGACGAGGGUCUUGUCAGUUGGUUUAAGCUUUACUGAUGUGACUGAUUCAGUUGGUUUUCAACCUGACGUCAGUACUUUGGCAUGUGGUCUGUUAAAUGAUGGGUUACUUGUCCAGAUUCACCAGCAUGCAGUAAGACUUUGUUUGCCCACUAAAGUUGCCCAUUCAGAAGGAAUUUCUUUGCCUUCUCCCGUUUGUAUAUCUUGGUGCCCAGACAAUAUGAAUAUCAAUUUGGGUGCUGUUGGACAUGAUCUGAUAGUUGUUUCUACUUCUAAUCCUUGUAUUUUAUUCCUUCUUGGGGUCAGAUUGCUGUCAGGAUAUGACUAUGAGAUACAUGUAAUGCAACAUUUGAGAUUACAAUAUGAGUUAUCAUGCAUUUCCAUUCCUCAAAAACGUUUUGAGCGAAAAAGUCCAACUCGCCCUAUUGGUGUUGUGGACGAUAGCUAUCUGUCUGCCCUUCCAUCUGAAGUUGACAUCAGUAAAGCUUUUGUUGUUGGCACACACAAGCCUUCAGUGGAAGUUUUGGUUUUUGAUCCUGAUGAAGGCCUAAGAGUAAUUGCAAAUGGGACAAUUGCACUUACAACUAUUAUGGGAACUGCUGUUAGUGGUUGUGUUCCUCAAGAUGUGAGGCUUGUUUAUGUCAACCGGUUGUAUAUCCUUUCUGGACUGAGGAAUGGUAUGCUGCUUCGUUUUGAGUGGCCUUCUGCCUUUACAUUUUCACCAUCAGUACUGGCCAAUCGGAAUGCUCUUUCUUCUGUUCUAGUGGAUGCAGGUCCUGUUUUUUCUAGCACAUCAGCACCGAAUAGUUUUGGUCUAAAAGCCAAUGAUGUUAAAUUAUCUGAGAAGGCAAAGUCUAAAAAUCCUAUUAAUCUUCAAUUGAUCGCCAUUCGUCGCAUUGGCAUCACUCCUGUUUUCCUAGUUCCCUUGAGUAGCUCGCUUGAUGCUGAUAUAAUUGCUCUAAGUGACAGACCUUGGUUGUUACACACUGCAAGGCAUAGUCUCUCUUAUACAUCUAUUUCGUUCCAAGCUUCAACACACGUGACUCCUGUAUGUUCUGCCGAGUGCCCGAAGGGUAUUUUGUUUGUUGCAGAGAACAGUCUACAUUUGGUGGAGAUGGUGCAUUGUAAGAGGCUUAAUGUACAGAAGCUUAGUCUUGGAGGCACUCCUCGAAAGGUUCUGUAUCACAGUGAAAGCAGGUUAUUGCUUGUGAUGAGGACUGAUCUCACAAAUGAUACAUGUUCGUCUGAUAUAUGUUGUGUAGAUCCUUUAAGCGGUACAGUGCUCUCAUCUUUUAAACUUGAUCAUGGAGAAACAGGAAAAUCUAUGGAGUUGGUGAGAGUAGGGAAUGAACAGGUUCUUGUUGUUGGAACUCGUCUGUCUUCUGGUCCAGCCAUAAUGCCCAGUGGCGAGGCUGAGAGUACAAAGGGUCGUCUUAUUGUUCUCUGUCUUGAACACGCGCAAAACUCGGAUAGUGGUUCAAUGACAUUCUCUUCGAAGGCAGGUUCAUCUUCUCAACGAGCUUCGCCAUUUCGUGAAAUUGUUGGAUAUGCCACAGAACAGCUAUCUAGCAGUAGCCUGUGCAGUAGCCCAGAUGAUACCAGCUGUGAUGGAAUCAAACUUGAAGAAACUGAAGCAUGGCAGUUACGGUUGGCUUAUUCAGUCAUGUGGCCUGGAAUGGUACUCGCGAUUUGUCCCUAUCUUGAACGAUACUUCUUGGCAUCUGCCGGUAAUUCUUUUUAUGUCUGUGGUUUUCCGAAUGACAAUUCCCAACGGGUGAGAAAAUUCGCUGUGGGGAGGACAAGGUUUAUGAUUACGUCUUUGACUGCACACUUUACAAGAAUUGCUGUUGGCGACUGUCGCGAUGGUAUCCUCUUCUUCUCUUAUCAUGAAGAUGCUAGAAAGCUGGAACAACUUUACUGUGAUCCGUCACAAAGAUUAGUUGCGGAUUGUCUUCUCAUGGAUCUAGAUACUGCUGUUGUAUCAGACCGUAAGGGGAGCAUUGCUGUCCUUUCAUGUGCUGAUCACUUAGAAGAUAAUGCUAGUCCAGAAUGCAACUUAAAUGUAAGCUGUGCCUAUUAUAUGGGUGAGAUAGCUAUGAGCAUAAAAAAGGGAUCAUUUUCAUAUAGCCUUCCAGCAGAUGAUGUAUUGAAGGGCAGCAACAUGAAGAUUGACUCUGCACGCAAUACCAUUAUUGCCAGCACCCUGCUAGGAAGUAUAAUUACCUUCAUUCCUUUAUCAAGGGAUGAAUAUGAACUAUUGGAAGCUGUCCAAAGUAGGCUUGUAGUUCAUCCAUUGACUGCUCCUAUACUUGGAAAUGAUCAUAACGAGUUUCGCAGCCGUGAAAACCCGCCUGGAGUACCUAAAAUACUUGACGGUGAUAUGCUUACUCAAUUCUUGGAACUUACAAGAAUGCAACAAGAAGCUGUACUGUCGUUACCUCUGGGCACAAAAGAUGCAGUAAGCUCAAGCUCAAAAACUACUCCUCCGCCGAUCCCUGUCAAUCAGGUUGUGCAGCUCUUGGAGCGAGUACAUUAUGCACUAAACUGAUCUAAGAAUGUGUUCCAAUUCUCCAACCUGUUUAUGAGUUAUGGAAAUAGGUUUCAAGUGUCCAAUUGAAGAAGCGCUUGAGCCGACUUUCAUAUGCCAGUUUUUUUAUGGCAGCAUCUUCAUUUGUCCUCCAAGUUUUCUGAGCAAUGAAACAUCGGUCCAGAAAACCAAAUACCUCGUAUCGCUAAACAUCUUUUGUUACUUAGUCUUAUGGUUAAUGCUGUAGCAAGAUGUUUCUGACGACUCACUUUCUCAGUUUGAAUCUAAGGUGGAGCAACAGCUGAGCCCAGCAAAUAAAAUGCCAAGAUGUGGGUGGAUUUUUCGCCAUUUCACUCCAUGAGAAUCAAGCGGUCGACCAAAAGAUUGAGCCCAGCCCAACCUACAAUGAAGCACUUAGCCAUAUGACAUGCAAAAGUGCACCAAAAAAAAAGUAAUAAUAUAUUGAAGAGAGAAUCUUGGAAUCUGCCCCCUUAAGAUACUUUUCUAGUUUUGUAUCAUUCACUUAAAUUUUGCCAUUUUUAAGUUGAAAUGUAAUGAGAAAAAGUAAGGGUACAUUCUAGGAUAGACAUUUUUUUUAA
Molecule: RNA transcript, 4965 nt
Organism: Morus notabilis
Lineage: Eukaryota; Viridiplantae; Streptophyta; Magnoliopsida; Rosales; Moraceae
Gene name: pre-mRNA-splicing factor RSE1
Exons: 16
Source: RefSeq, a predicted model, not a curated record